Molecule: ribosomal RNA, 474 nt
Filed under: uncultured organism
Description: partial 16S ribosomal RNA
Rfam family: Bacterial small subunit ribosomal RNA
Source: RNAcentral
ACUCCUGCGGGAGGCAGCAGUGGGGAAUUUUGGACAAUGGGCGAAAGCCUGAUCCAGCAAUGCCGCGUGAGUGAAGAAGGCCUUCGGGUUGUAAAGCUCUUUUGUCAGGGAAGAAACGGUGAAAGCUAAUAUCUUUUGCUAAUGACGGUACCUGAAGAAUAAGCACCGGCUAACUACGUGCCAGCAGCCGCGGUAAUACGUAGGGUGCAAGCGUUAAUCGGAAUUACUGGGCGUAAAGCGUGCGCAGGCGGUUUUGUAAGUCUGAUGUGAAAUCCCCGGGCUCAACCUGGGAAUUGCAUUGGAGACUGCAAGGCUAGAAUCUGGCAGAGGGGGGUAGAAUUCCACGUGUAGCAGUGAAAUGCGUAGAUAUGUGGAGGAACACCGAUGGCGAAGGCAGCCCCCUGGGUCAAGAUUGACGCUCAUGCACGAAAGCGUGGGGAGCAAACAGGAUUAGAAACCCCUGUAGUCCCAUGA